Arabidopsis lyrata subsp. lyrata is the source of this 1736-nucleotide long non-coding RNA. RefSeq lists it as uncharacterized. NCBI's taxonomy places the organism in Eukaryota, Viridiplantae, Streptophyta, Magnoliopsida, Brassicales, Brassicaceae. The record is from RefSeq and is a predicted model, not a curated record. The transcript has 2 exons.
GUAUUGGACUUGGUAUUUUAGGAGAUUUUGGGAUAUUCUUAAAAUCAGCUGUUAUUCAAGUGAUGAUUUUUAAAAGUCUCCUCAAAUCCUAUGUUAGUCAAAUACUAAUUUAGGUAAAGUCACCUAAAAUGAUUCACAAUCUCUUGUUAUUCAACCAACAAUUUUUAAAUCUCAGAUCAAAUCUGUUGUUAUUCAAAAUAUCACAAUAUUUGCAUAAGAAGUUAGUGAAACUGAUUUUAGAAGACUUUUUAUACUGUUUUAGUUGAAAAAUAUAACUUAAACAAUCGCACCUAUACAGGUGGAAAAGCCAUCUUCAAUCACUUUUCGAUUAUUUUUUUCAUCCAUUGAACAUCUUACAAGAGCAAUCGAAGAGAUAAUUGAAGAAUCUACAAAUUUGUAAUUUCAAUUUUAUAGAUUAGAUAUGAAUUGAGCUUGGGACUUCCAUCUCUUCUUUUCCUCCAUAGAAUUUUCUCGCGUCACUCGCCGUCAUCCUCUUCAAUUACCUAAAUCCUUCGAUUCACUCAUGAAAUCUCCAUUAAUUUCAAAUUUGUCAAUCCUUUUUCUGUCAUCCUUACUAGAUUUACAACAACUUCAUCAAAUCAAAAUCUACACGAGUGCAAGGCAAAGGACCUUCAUCAAAUCACUUGCUUCUGACAUCGUCUGAGGCCGGUGACUUCUUCUUCAUCCUCUUUGUUAGUCUAUUACCAAAUCAUUACCUGGUAACUCUCGAAACCUUUCAAAGUCGUCUUUUUGAAUGUGUAUAAAAGCUGAAUGUCUCUCUCCAUUCUUUCCCAGAAAUUACUUCUCUCUCUUACUUGUAUAUGAAAUUUUGGGGACCGAUUAGAAUCUCAAUUGGAUGAGUUUGAAUCACAACUUUUAGCCAUCACGCUGGUCGUCUUCGAGUUUCUGUCAUUCUAAAGUAGAGAUUUCUCUCUAUGGAUCUAUUACAGUCAAUGAAAAUAAAUGCUUAAACGCUAAACAAAAAAGGCUUGUACUGGCUGGUGAUGUGUCUAGUCCGUUUGGUGUUGAUAUACCGGCGAUUACGAUUGUGUUAAUUUGCGUUAUCGUCGUUGGUGUCGUUAUCGUUGUCGGUGUACAUCUCUUGGAACGUCCUUGGUGGUCAUGUGAAUCCAGCGGUCAUAACUCAAGGUAUCAUUGGUUGAUUUGAUGGUGAUGAGUGCUCUCGUUAUGAUGUUAGGCCUGCAGUUCAAUAUGCAGGGUUACUUAUUAGGUGUAUAUAUAUAUACACUCACGAUGAUCAAUAGCUUUCUUCUCCCCUGCAAAAUUAGUAACGCUACUUCAAGGUUCAUCUCUUGUUUUGUCAAAGUGAGUAAUUCCUCUUCAUUUACUCUAGAAAAAUAACAACAUUGAACAUGAGAGUUUCCAUGUGAUGAUCAUUGAACAAGGGCAGUGUUGUUUUGGUUGGCUAUGUUAUUGUCCAUGUGAUGAUGAGAAUCGGACGGUGGUGUUUCUUUGUUGUCAUCGUCGGUAAUGCUAUUGUGAUCGGACGAACAUUGAUGCUGGAGGAGGAACGUAUGGCACUCAUAUUGCCAUUGAAGUUGUUGUUGUGAUGAUGAUUUUUGUGGUUGAUGUAUAUGUCAUCGUUCAAACAUAGACAUAGACAUCGUAUUUCUUGUCAUCAUAUAUGUGGAUAUGGAGGGGAGAAUGUGGGAGAAAAAGUGAAACAAAUUUGGCGUAGACAUUGGUUGAGAUUUUUAGAGACAAAUUUUCCUUUU